CGCUGGCGGCGCGUUUAAGCAUGCAAGUCGAGCGGCAAGGGCCUUCGGGCCCUAGAGCGGCGGACGGGUGAGUAACACGUGGACAAUCUGCCCCCCGGCCCGGGAUAGCCCAGGGAAACCUGGAUUAAUGCCGGAUGAGACGGGACCCGCGAUGGCGGGACCCGGGAAAGGCGCUGCGGCGCCGCCGGGGGAUGAGUCUGCGUCCCAUUAGCUAGACGGCGGGGUAACGGCCCACCGUGGCGACGAUGGGCAGCCGGCCUGAGAGGGUGGACGGCCACAUUGGAACUGAGACACGGUCCAGACUCCUACGGGAGGCAGCAGCUAAGAAUCUUCCGCAAUGGGCGAAAGCCUGACGGAAGCGACGCCGCGUGAACGAAGAAGGCCGUGAGGUUGUAAAGUUCUUUUCGGGAGGGGGAACAACCGUGGCAGGGAAUGGCCGCGGGAUGACGUGAAUCCCGGAAUAAGCCCCGGCUAACUACGUGCCAGCCGCGGC
RNAcentral lists this ribosomal RNA (493 nucleotides) under uncultured bacterium. Its description in RNAcentral is "bacterial SSU rRNA". It matches the Rfam family "Bacterial small subunit ribosomal RNA", at positions 34 to 518 of the family's 1533-position model. The record is from RNAcentral.